This 31-nucleotide non-coding RNA is filed under the name Homo sapiens (human). Lineage: Eukaryota; Metazoa; Chordata; Mammalia; Primates; Hominidae. The record is from RNAcentral.
UGCUGCAUAUCUAAGCUGCUCAGAGUCCGGC